CGGCGUAACCCUGUUGUGGGGAGAUGUAGUGAACGUGAGAGUCGAUGCCGCCGGCGGUGAGGAUGAGAUGCUCGCCGGUGAUGGCGUCGGUGGAAUUGCCCACGAUAAGAUCAGGAUCGACACCAUUCAUCAUAGACGGGUUGCCGCUCUUGCCGAUGCCCACGAUCCUGCCGUCCCGGAUGCCCACGUCGGCUUUGAUGACGCCCUGCACCGCGUCGAUGACGGUGACGUUUGUGAUGACGAGAUCAAGCACGCCGGCAUCGCGGUUCAGGCGGGCAUCGCCGCCCAUGCCGCCG
This is a small RNA of Bilophila wadsworthia 3_1_6, 296 nucleotides long. It matches the Rfam family "5' ureB small RNA". The record is from Rfam. NCBI's taxonomy places the organism in Bacteria, Pseudomonadati, Thermodesulfobacteriota, Desulfovibrionia, Desulfovibrionales, Desulfovibrionaceae.